Molecule: ribosomal RNA, 253 nt
Filed under: uncultured bacterium
Lineage: Bacteria
Description: partial 16S ribosomal RNA
Rfam family: Bacterial small subunit ribosomal RNA
Source: RNAcentral
UACGGAGGGAGCUAGCGUUGUUCGGAAUUACUGGGCGUAAAGCGCGCGUAGGCGGCUAUUCAAGUCAGGGGUGAAAUCCCGGGGCUCAACCCCGGAACUGCCUUUGAAACUGGGUGGCUAGAAUCUUGGAGAGGUCAGUGGAAUUCCGAGUGUAGAGGUGAAAUUCGUAGAUAUUCGGAAGAACACCAGUGGCGAAGGCGACUGACUGGACAAGUAUUGACGCUGAGGUGCGAAAGCGUGGGGAGCAAACAGG